Molecule: ribosomal RNA, 575 nt
Filed under: Bradyrhizobium sp.
Lineage: Bacteria; Pseudomonadati; Pseudomonadota; Alphaproteobacteria; Hyphomicrobiales; Nitrobacteraceae
Description: bacterial SSU rRNA
Rfam family: Bacterial small subunit ribosomal RNA
Source: RNAcentral
GGGGGCCCGCACAAGCGGUGGAGCAUGUGGUUUAAUUCGACGCAACGCGCAGAACCUUACCAGCCCUUGACAUGUCCAGGACCGGUCGCAGAGACGUGACCUUCUCUUCGGAGCCUGGAACACAGGUGCUGCAUGGCUGUCGUCAGCUCGUGUCGUGAGAUGUUGGGUUAAGUCCCGCAACGAGCGCAACCCCCGUCCUUAGUUGCUACCAUUUAGUUGAGCACUCUAAGGAGACUGCCGGUGAUAAGCCGCGAGGAAGGUGGGGAUGACGUCAAGUCCUCAUGGCCCUUACGGGCUGGGCUACACACGUGCUACAAUGGCGGUGACAGUGGGAUGCGAAGACGCAAGUCCUAGCAAAUCUCAAAAAGCCGUCUCAGUUCGGAUUGGGCUCUGCAACUCGAGCCCAUGAAGUUGGAAUCGCUAGUAAUCGUGGAUCAGCACGCCACGGUGAAUACGUUCCCGGGCCUUGUACACACCGCCCGUCACACCAUGGGAGUUGGCUUUACCUGAAGACGGUGCGCUAACCAGCAAUGGAGGCAGCCGGCCACGGUAGGGUCAGCGACUGGGGUGAAGUC